RNAcentral lists this ribosomal RNA (330 nucleotides) under Triticum aestivum (bread wheat). Its description in RNAcentral is "partial small subunit ribosomal RNA". Lineage: Eukaryota; Viridiplantae; Streptophyta; Magnoliopsida; Poales; Poaceae. The record is from RNAcentral.
AUGCUCCACACCUUCGACCGCAAUGACAAUGACAACAUCUCCACUACCAAGACCGUGUUCUACAUGGCGAGGCUGGGCCAGCUGCUCACCUUCGAGGAGCUCAUGAUGUGGGAUACAGACGUGUAUUGGGACGGGUUGGUGGAUUCCUUGGCAGCCAAUCGGAUGCAGGGCAUCGGCAGCGACAUUGACAGGCACCAGCGGCGUAGGAGUCCCGCGGCCUACUGGAGUUUUUGGCACUGUAAUCAACAGAAGAUUGUUGCCUGGUACUGUAAGCUACGGCAUGAGCAUCCUGCAGCAACAACAACAAAAACAGAGAACACUAUGACAUGA